GACGAACGCUGGCGGCGUGCUUAAUACAUGCAAGUCGAACGGAAGUAGCAAUACUUUAGUGGCGCACGGGUGAGGAACACGUAGAUGAUCUGCCCUUGAGAUCGAGAUAACCCCGGGAAACUGGGGCUAAUACCGGAUAAUGCAUUAUUAUUGGAUUAAUAAUGUUAAAGCGGCGCAAGUCGCACUUGAGGAUGAGUCUGCGACCUAUCAGCUAGUUGGCGGUGUAAUGGACCACCAAGGCAAAGACGGGUAGCUGAUCUGAGAGGAUGAUCAGCCACACUGGGACUGAGACACGGCCCAGACUCCUACGGGAGGCAGCAGUAGGGAAUAUUGCGCAAUGGGGGAAACCCUGACGCAGCGACGCCGCGUGAGUGAUGAAGGCCUUUCUGGUUGUAAAGCUCUGUAAGGAGGGAAGAAUGUCAGGCAGUAACGUGUCUGAGUGACGGUACCUCCGGAGUAAGGACCGGCUAAAUACGUGCC
This 480-nucleotide ribosomal RNA is filed under the name uncultured bacterium. Its description in RNAcentral is "bacterial SSU rRNA". It matches the Rfam family "Bacterial small subunit ribosomal RNA", at positions 28 to 509 of the family's 1533-position model. The record is from RNAcentral.